Molecule: transfer RNA, 69 nt
Filed under: Ictidomys tridecemlineatus (thirteen-lined ground squirrel)
Lineage: Eukaryota; Metazoa; Chordata; Mammalia; Rodentia; Sciuridae
Description: Spermophilus tridecemlineatus (thirteen-lined ground squirrel) tRNA
Rfam family: tRNA
About the family: Transfer RNA (tRNA) molecules are approximately 80 nucleotides in length. Their secondary structure includes four short double-helical elements and three loops (D, anti-codon, and T loops).
Source: Rfam by way of RNAcentral
GGGAUUGUAGCUCAGUGGUAGAGCUCUCAUCUAGCAUGUGUGAGGCCCUGGGUUCGAUCCUCAGCACCA